CAAUAGCGUAUAUUAAAGUUGUUGCAGUUAAAAAGCUCGUAGUUGAAGUUUGGGCCUGGGCGGGCGGUCUACCUAUGGUGAGUACUGCUGCGGCCGGGUCUUUCCUUCUGGCUAGCCCUCGGGCGAACCAGGACGAUUACUUUGAGGAAAUUAGAGUGUUCAAAGCAGGCCUUUGCUCGGAUAUAUUAGCAUGGAAUAAUAGAAUAGGACGCAUGGUUCCAUUUUGUUGGUUUCUAGGACCAUCGUAAUGAUUAAUAGGGACGGUCGGGGGCAUCAGUAUUCAGUUGUCAGAGGUGAAAUUCUUGGAUUAACUGAAGACUAACUACUGCGAAAGCAUUUGCCAAGGACGUUUUCAUUAA
This 359-nucleotide ribosomal RNA is filed under the name uncultured eukaryote. Its description in RNAcentral is "partial 18S ribosomal RNA". It matches the Rfam family "Eukaryotic small subunit ribosomal RNA", at positions 592 to 976 of the family's 1831-position model. The record is from RNAcentral.